AAUAUCAGUCAUGCAUAGCAUAUCAAUAAGCGGAGGAAAAGAAACUAACAAGGAUUCCCUUAGUAACGGCGAGUGAAGCGGGAAGAGCUCAAAUUUGAAAUCUUCGAAGGUUUUACCUUGACGAAUUGUAGUUUAAAGAAGUGUUUUCUGUUGAAGUUUUGGUAAAAGUUCUUUGGAAUAGGACAUCAUAGAGGGUGAGAAUCCCGUAUUUGACCAUUACUUUCAGCUUUGUGAUACACUUUCAAAGAGUCGGAUUGUUUGGGAAUGCAGUCCAAAAUGGGUGGUAAAUUUCAUCUAAAGCUAAAUAUUGGCGAGAGACCGAUAGCGAACAAGUACCGUGAGGGAAAGAUGAAAAGAACUUUGAAAAGAGAGUUAAACAGUACGUGAAAUUGUCAAAAGGGAAGCGUUUGACAUCCAGUGUUGUUUUCUCGAAAAUCAAUUAAAAAGAGUUGGAUUUUGUGUUGUAUUGACUUUAUCAGCUUUCUUCACUCUUUUCCAGCUUUUUUUAAUGCACUUUUCGUUUAACAAGUCAACAUCAGUUUCUUUUGUUGUAAAAAGGUCAUUGGAAGGUGGCUUUCUCUUCGGAGAAAGUGUUUAUAGCCUUCGACUCAUGCAAUCGGAGAGACUGAGGUCUGCAGCGUAGAUCCUUCGGGGUUAGAUACAUUUGUGCUAAGUUAUAGCUUUUCAUAGACAACUUGUUGACUAUGUUUAGUCUUGUAGCUUACUCGCUUAUGCUAUUUUACCUACGCUUAGGAUGUUGAACUCUAUCACACACAG
This 777-nucleotide ribosomal RNA is filed under the name uncultured Neocallimastigales. RNAcentral describes it as "partial large subunit ribosomal RNA". It matches the Rfam family "Eukaryotic large subunit ribosomal RNA", at positions 20 to 628 of the family's 3401-position model. Lineage: Eukaryota; Fungi; Neocallimastigomycota; Neocallimastigomycetes; Neocallimastigales. The record is from RNAcentral.